This 1365-nucleotide unclassified non-coding RNA is filed under the name uncultured Neocallimastigales. RNAcentral describes it as "partial contains internal transcribed spacer 1, 5.8S ribosomal RNA, internal transcribed spacer 2, and large subunit ribosomal RNA". The stretch from base 592 to 1365 matches the Rfam family "Eukaryotic large subunit ribosomal RNA", at positions 1 to 626 of the family's 3401-position model. Lineage: Eukaryota; Fungi; Neocallimastigomycota; Neocallimastigomycetes; Neocallimastigales. The record is from RNAcentral.
AAAAUAAUCCUACCCUUUGUGAAUUUGUUUGUUUGAAUAAUUUUUUUUUUAAAAAAUUAUUGGAGUCUUUCCCUUUAGAGUUUGCUUUUGAGUUUGUAAAAGAAUUCGAAAACAUCUAAAGGGGAUGGUCAAUAAUUUUUUUGAAAAAAGACAUUUUUUAAAAUUAAACUUUUGUAUUCAUUUGUCUAAAAAUUAUUUUUAUAAUAUAAAAACAACUUUUGACAAUGGAUCUCUUGGUUCUCGCAACGAUGAAGAACGCAGCAAAAUGCGAUAAGUAGUGUGAAUUGCAGAAUACGUGAAUCAUCGAAUCUUUGAACGCAUAUUGCACUUUUUUAGUUUACUAAAAAAGUAUGUCUGUUUGAGUAUCAGUAAAACAUUCUCAUAAAAAUCAUUGUGUAUUUUUAUGGUUAUGAGUGUUUUACAACGAUACAAGUUGUUUCACUUUAAAUUUUUUUUUAAUAUUGAAAUUUUUCUAAUUUUAAUAAUUAAAAUUGGAUAAAAUUUUCCCGUCAAAAGGAAUAACCUAAACAAUUUUAAAUGAUUAAUUUUAGCAAAAUUUUCGAAAAAAGGAAAAUUUUUAUUAAAAUAACUUGAUCUCAAAUCAGAUAAGAGUGCCCGCUGAACUUAAGCAUAUCAAUAAGCGGAGGAAAAGAAACUAACAAGGAUUCCCUUAGUAACGGCGAGUGAAGCGGGAAGAGCUCAAAUUUGAAAUCUUCAAGGUUUUACCUUGACGAAUUGUAGUUUAAAGAAGUGUUUUCUGCUGAAGUUUUGGUAAAAGUUCUUUGGAAUAGGACAUCAUAGAGGGUGAGAAUCCCGUAUUUGACCAUUAUUUUCAGCUUUGUGAUACACUUUCAAAGAGUCGGAUUGUUUGGGAAUGCAGUCCAAAAUGGGUGGUAAAUUUCAUCUAAAGCUAAAUAUUGGCGAGAGACCGAUAGCGAACAAGUACCGUGAGGGAAAGAUGAAAAGAACUUUGAAAAGAGAGUUAAACAGUACGUGAAAUUGUCAAAAGGGAAGCGUUUGACACCAGUGUUGUUUUCUCGAAAAUCAAUUAAAAAUGGCUCGAUUUUGUAUUGCUGAGACCUUAAAAGCUCACUGUACAUUUUUCGUGUCUUUUUUAAUGCACUUUUCGUUUAACAAGUCAACAUCAGUUUCUUUUGUUGUAAAAGGGUCAUUGGAAGGUGGCUUUCUUUUCGGAGAAAGUGUUUAUAGCCUUUGGCCUCUGCAAUCGAAGAGACUGAGGUCUGCAGCGUAGACUCUUCGGGUUAGAUACAUUUGUGCUAAGUUAUAGCUUUUUAUAGACAACUUGUUGUCUAUAAUUAGUCUUGUAGCUUACUCGCUUAUGCUAUUUUACCUACGCUUAGGAUG